Long non-coding RNA from Ictalurus punctatus (channel catfish), 1600 nucleotides. RefSeq lists it as uncharacterized. Lineage: Eukaryota; Metazoa; Chordata; Actinopteri; Siluriformes; Ictaluridae. The transcript has 3 exons. The record is from RefSeq and is a predicted model, not a curated record.
GAGAGAGAGAGAGAGAGAGAGAGAGAGAGAGAGAGAGAGAGAGAGAGAGAGAAUUAAAGAUAGUGUCAUGUGUUUCCUGGGGGUUUGCUGCCCACAAUUACAAUGUGUUUAUGUUAAUGAAUUAAGGGACGAGUCGUGCGUUUCAGUGUUUUACGACCCCUACCAAUGUGUACAUUUGUGGUUUAAGUGAAUCUUUGUUUCUGAAAUUACUUUUGUGGCAAAGAGCACGAUGGCAUGGAAAGAGUAUACAAGAGUAAUCGGGGUGAUCUAAUGCUUAGGAGUUCUACAGUACUUCGACUUGGGAAGAUUCAACAAUACCCUCAGAGAGAGAGGCAUUAUCUAAGUUUCAUCACAAGAUUCAGACGUGGAUAAAUUUCAACAUGGAAGGAAAAGUGAGGCGCUAACUUAUUUUGACCCAGGUACAGCUUAUUUGAAGCAAAGAAAAACCCCAACAAGGGAACUACUGAAACAACACCAUGAACACUCCUAGAUUUCACCUGUUUUUAAUAAGGAUAAUGAAUUGUUGCAAUUCCUGCUUGAGCUUUGAAAGAUCAAGAGCAGCGUUAUCAACAUGGCCUUGAGAACACAAGGUAAGCUUGUGCUACUGCUUAGAAAUGUGCUGUAGAUAGUCAUGUAUCAAUUAUGCUUGAGAAAUAAGCUGACAUCAGAAGUCCACAUGACUUGUCUCCAUGUUUCAAAGUUGUGCUAUUUGUAUGUGAUAAGUUAUUAAAGGGAUCAUGACAUGAUUUUUUAAAAAUCUUCCCUGAGGUGUAAUUGUAAUAUUAGUAAAGUUUUUUUUGGACAAAAAACAUACAAAAUGUAGUAAUUUAUAACUUGUUUCUAUGCUUUGUCUGAUCCUCUGACUGAAAUGACAGUUUUUUUGUCUUUUACUGUUAAGACAUCAAUGUAACCACCCAUGGCCACGGAUCACGUGCACUCUACUGUCUUCACUCCUAUUGGUAGUCGCUACACCAAGUCUUGCUGUAGGGUCAGUCAUAUACAAAUGUAUUUGCCCGUGUGAUGUCACAAAUCCUGCCACAUCCAAAUGAGCCAUUUUUGGAUAAAUGCUCUUUAUGUACUGAAAAGAUGAAUUAAGCUAUGUAACCUGCAGGACGUUUUAAUGGUACAAUGACCUCCUAUAUGUUAAAAGAUUAAGGACAAUUUUAUUUUAGAUUUAGAUUUCUUAUGCCAUGACCCCUUUUAGGUUUGACUUAAAUAUGAACAAAUAAAUUAAAUGUCUACGUUCAUGCCAUUGAUAAAAUGACUUUUCAGUUAAAAGCAAAUUCGGGCUUGCAACAACUGCAGCUCUUCAAGGCUUCGAUGAUACAGACACCAAGGUAGAGAUCUUCCACGAAUUGAUUGAAGGCAGUCCACAUUUAAGCUUAACUGUAAGAUGUCCAGAGGAAAAUUUUUUGCUGGAUUGCCUGAAGGUCAAUAAAUUAUAGAAUUUCAGACAUUCUUUUAAGGGCUCCAGUGUAACAAUAUCCUGAGGACAAAAGAAAAUGCGUUUGGGAUAGAGAAACAAACCCAGUGUUACACUGGUGGGGCAUCCUUAGUUUUACUAUUAUUGUUGUUGUUGUUGUUGUUGUUGUACCUUCUU